UACAGAGGGUGCAAGCGUUAAUCGGAAUUACUGGGCGUAAAGCGUGCGUAGACGGUUAUGUAAGUCGGGUGUGAAAGCCCCGGGCUCAACCUGGGAAUGCCAUUCGAGACUGCAUAGCUAGGGUGCGGAAGAGGGAAGCGGAAUUUCAGGUGUAGCGGUGAAAUGCGUAGAUAUCUGAAGGAACACCAGUGGCGAAAGCGGCUUCCUGGGCCAGCACCGACGUUCAGGCACGAAAGCGUGGGGAGCAAACAGG
RNAcentral lists this ribosomal RNA (253 nucleotides) under uncultured bacterium. RNAcentral's name for it is "partial 16S ribosomal RNA". It matches the Rfam family "Bacterial small subunit ribosomal RNA", at positions 524 to 776 of the family's 1533-position model. The record is from RNAcentral.